CGAAAAGGUCCGUGUUAACACCACGGAUCCAUGACGGUACCCGCAGAAGAAGCACCGGCUAACUACGUGCCAGCAGCCGCGGUAAUACGUAGGGUGCGGGCGUUAAUCGGAAUUACUGGGCGUAAAGCGUGCGCAGGCGGUCUUUUAAGUCAGAUGUGAAAUCCCCGGGCUUAACCUGGGAACUGCGUUUGAAACUGGAAGGCUAGAGUGUGGCAGAGGGGGGUGGAAUUCCACGUGUAGCAGUGAAAUGCGUAGAGAUGUGGAGGAACACCGAUGGCGAAGGCAGCCCCCUGGGCUAACACUGACGCUCAUGCACGAAAGCGUGGGGAGCAAACAGGAUUAGAUACCCUGGUAGUCCACGCCCUAAACUAUGUCAACUGGUUGUCGGGGAAGCAAUUCCUUGGUAACGAAGCUAACGCGUGAAGUUGACCGCCUGGGGAGUACGGCCGCAAGGUUAAAACUCAAAGGAAUUGACGGGGACCCGCACAAGCGGUGGAUUAUGUGGAUUAAUUCGAUGCAACGCGAAAAACCUUACCUACCCUUGACAUGCCAGGAACCCUCCAGAGAUGGAGGGGUGCCCGAAAGGGAACUUGGACACAGGUGCUGCAUGGCUGUCGUCA
Molecule: ribosomal RNA, 620 nt
Filed under: uncultured bacterium
Lineage: Bacteria
Description: bacterial SSU rRNA
Rfam family: Bacterial small subunit ribosomal RNA
Source: RNAcentral